ACAUCUCACUUUUUUUCUUUUUUUAUGUUUUCCUAAAGUACCCUCUUCUCUUUUUAAUAUUUUCCUACACAACACCCCUCAUUAAAUGAGGGUUGUGUGGUCAGUUAAUACCUUGACGCACUACACACACCAACGUUUUCCCAAUAUAUAAGAGGACCUCUCGUCUUUCAUCAUCACAACAUAGCCGCUGCAUCUAAACCUACUCGGUCUCACCACCCUCCGUUUUUCAAACUCUCCAUCCUUUUCACUCAUUAAUAAACCAUGAUAGGUCCCUUUGGUCCACCAUGAACAUCAAGCAGAAGAAUUGAACUAUCUCGCAGCUGGCCAUAACCAUGAACAAGCCUAGAGCCUUCAUGCAUGGCAAAAUACUAGUUAACAGUUACAUACACAAGAAGUGUAUAUUAGACCACUGUAAAUCAGCUUACUAAACAUAUAUAUCUCUGGCAAUCAUUCACAUGGAAAUCUAAUAAUCACUUCCUUGAAUGUAACUGUUAAUGCUUGUGAUGAUGCCAGAAACAAAAGAGAUGCUGACAAGCAGUCAACAGCACGUAAUGUCGAUUCUAGGUAUCUAUGCUUUAUUAUAUAUUUUUAAUUUUUUCUUCUUUUGGUUUUACUGUGAAUUAUUGAAAUGAAAAAAUAUAUAUAUAAAGUAGAUGGUGCUACGUCAGGAUUACCUUUGAGAUACCUAGAAACUCUCUCCAAAGGACACCUCCGUCAAGUAGUAGUGAUGGAUUCAGCACAAGAGUCAGUGAGGAUAAUUUAUUUUUAUAAAAUAAUUAUUAUUAUUAUUAUCAUACAUAUGAAAAGGAAACGUGAAACAUAAUCAAUUGUACAAUAAAAUAAUUGCCGCUAAAAUCUUUAAUGGUAUUUCAUAUUGCCGCUAAAAGAAAAAACAAUUGCCACCGUAUGUCAUUGGAGUAGUGUGUUUGAUAAAAUUUAAAAGACCCAAAGAACAAAAUUUGACAAAAGGUUGAAAAAAAUGAGGGACAAAAGGAUAAAAACACUGGAAAUGAACUUGUAUUUUUUUUCCUGAAAUCAAUUAUAUGACCCAUUAGCAUGCUAUUAGUAACAAACCAUGGUAAAUAUAACAUACAAUUGGGAAUUAGCUACUAAACAUACAACUAAUCCCUAUGAUCGCUUAAAUAUUUUUAACAAAACUGUAAUAUACCAGGAGCCAUGGCAUGGACAAGCAUCAAGGGACCAAAAAAUAGGCUAAGUACAAAGAAAGUGAGAGAGUUUCUCAUUUCUAUAACCAAAUUAACGAAACCAAGAUUUUAUCUUGUUGGUAUUCUACCUUCUUUUAAUUACCACAUAAUUGAAUCUCUGUUGUCAUUUUGGCAAUGUUAGGUCUCUCUUUCUCACUCUCUGCAGUCUAGAAGGUUUUCACUCUCUUAAAAAAUGGAAAAACCAAAUUGCAAGCUUUGCAAAGUUUCUAUUCUUGUUGGCUUCUCUGUUUUUUUAGUGGAGAAGGAAGUGGCAAGCUAGUAGUACCCUGUUCGCAAGGGCUGACUGGCCUUUUAUCAAAUUUGAAAGCAAAACUAACUCGUAAUGUAGCAAAUGUUUGUAGCCCCUAUUAAAGAUAAAACAAGUAAUCAGUAAUCACUACUCAUAAUGCUAAGUGAUUGGUUCAUAGCACUCUGUUGUUGCAAAAAGCUUCCUCUUAAUUCUACUAUUUGAUUAACAGAAAGAAUCAGAAAAAAAAUUACAAUUAAACUAAAUUAAACAUGACUUAUAAACAGAAGAGAUAUGGCUAAUUUCUUAACAUAACCUCUUAAAUAAUUUCUAGAUCCAUGUAAUAAAAUUGUAGAAUUAAUUUUAAAAUGCUUAUAAGUUUUCCAAAAAUCUAGUGUUUGGGACCCAGCUGGGAACCAAUUUUUCCCCUCCAGUCUAUGAAAGCGAAGCUAAACAAACCGGCCGUAUCAUGGAGUAAUAUAUGUCAAAAUAAAGAAAGAGUUAACAAAAUUAAAUUGAAUGAUGUCAGAAAGAUGUCAUUUGAAUUAUAUAUCUAUUGUAAAAAAAUGGUCCCUCCUGGUUAAAUUAAUACACAAGAGAGACUGAUGGAGAUUGUCUUGUAGAUCUUGAAAAAGCAACUCAAGGCAGAAUUGGAUUGCAUCAGAGACAACAAUUAUGAAAUAAUAAUACUAGACUUGCAUUACACCACAUCUAGUACUAUUUGCUCCUUUUCUUUCUUCAAAUGAUUUCCAAUUCCCAACUAUAACCUUGACUUCUUCAAUUGGGGGCUGGGGGCCAACGUAACUAAUAAUGUGAGAAUAUAUCUUUCAAAAGCAGAACAGUCUAUAUUAAUUAGCGUGGACACAAAAUAAAAUGUAAUCAAUAUAUAUAUUCUCCUUAGCUAGGGUAAGUAUGGGGGGGGGGGGGGGGGGGGACCAUGCAAAUGAGGAAAGACAUGUUGAAAAUAAUAUCUUCAAGGAAGCCGUGUUCAGUGGUCUAGUUUAUUUUUAACUUCUAAGAUAGUGAAAAUUAAAAUGUACUACUAGUAAGAGAUAUGUCAUAAAGCAUCUUAGUAUAUAUAGUAAGGCACCUCGAGGAACUUGCUGGUUCUUGAAUCAGUAUUAUCUUAAUUAACAUGACGUGGAUGAGUGAAAUGGUAAGUGAGUGGUGAUAAAGUGGCUACAAACAAGGUAAUUUUGGGAAAAAGAAUAAAGUGUCUGCCUAAUGCAUGGAAAUAUCACUUCAUAUACAUAUGUCUAAAGGUAGUAGCGGAAUUUAAGUAUCGAUCGUUUGAAAAGAUAAUGAGGAUCAGAUAAUACAAAUUUAUAUAAUUGAAAUUUUACACAUAUAGUUAAUCAUGUGUGAUCAAUAUUGAUCACAAUAAUAAUUUUAUACAAUCAUAUUUAUUUAUCAUUGAUCAUUUAUAAAAUAAAAUUAACUUCUUUUUUUACAGAAUCAUAAGAUGGACAUAAUUGGGUUUACAUUGAUCAGUGUAACGAACUUUUUCCCAUUCUUCUCACACACUCCCCGGCCACUAAUUACUCGCAUGCACUGCAAUUUCACACACAAAUAACUAAACAAAACUCACACAUUCUGUCUUUCAUUACAUGCACAUGCCAUACCAAUCAAAUAUUUCUCUCUGUCACCGCAACUACCGUGACCUCACCUAACACUCACCAACAAUUCUCUCUAACCUCUAUCACACACACAAUACCUGUCUCUCUCUACUCUGGCCAUAGCCUGCACACUUCAUCCCUUCUCUUUUUAAAAACUCAUUCAUCACGUCAUAACUCAAGUUGUUCAACCGAAGUGGGCAAGAUGAUAAGGGUACCCAAUAUCACAAAGAGUUUCUUCCCACCAAUUGUCAAGCCAAAGUGCAAGAAACUAAGAAUAUCCACAUUGGGGAAUAAGUUACUCGGGUUAUCACCUUCCAGAAUCAAGGAACCUAUUAAAACCAAGUAGAGCUAGUUCCGUGUAUAUUAACCUGAUAUUAUUAGCCUUCCUGUCUUUCCAAAUGCAAGCUCAUCUACAUCAGAACCUAUCUUGAUAUAACUGUUAGCUUCUGAAAAUCACAUCUAAAUCGUGGAACCAAACAUGCUAAUACUAGCUUCUAUCCAAACGUGGAUUUUCACGUCAAAUGACCUUGGCAUCGUGUGUCCAAACACGUGAACAUGCUGACUAUCUCACGCCAAAAUUUCUUCCUUUCAUAUACAUGCACCCAAAAAAAUUGGGUGUAAUUUUUACAUUUUCCUUACAAAUGAUGCACUAUUUCCAUGAGAGAGGUGUAGGUCCCGGUUAUUCCCAUUGCUAUAGGUGCUAUUAUUAUUAUCACCAUGGCUACUAUCUCACACCCAAAUUUUCUCUAAGUGCCUGAAAUCUUCAAGUAACGAAGGCAUAGAAACAUAAUAGAAGCUGUAACACUUAGAAACGCUCAAGAAAGGGACAUGAGAUACCCAAAGAAAGGAACAACAAGGGCAACAGUAGUAGUUCUGAUUACUAAGACAGUACUAAUCAGGAUUCUGGUCGCUCUAUUCCUGUAAGUCCUUGGAAGCAAGUCUUUCAAAGCAUUGGUAAUAGGUGUUACCAUCAAAGCAAACUUGGAUAUGGGAUUGACCAAGGUAGUACAUAUUGCUAUUUUCGGGCUUACUUUAUUUAUUUUCAGGUUUAAUGUGACCUGUGAUUCAACCUUGGGACCAAACAUUAGGCAACAAAUUAUAGCCAUGGAUGCAUAACCAGCAGUGCUUAAGAGAAAGCUAACAAGUAGUACCUGCAAUGUUAACGAAAAUAAAAUUCUUUAGAGAUCAGAGAAAGUAAGAAAGUAAAGCUACGUUUACACUACAUAAAUAGAAUUGAAUUUGCCACUUUAAUUCAAAUCAUUUCAGAGGAGCUAAAUUCUAGAGAGAUUAAGAGUGUGUUUGGAUACAAUUUACGUUGAGCGUAUCAACUUAACUGUCUUUCCAUCACGAUAAAGCAAAUACCUGUUUCUCAGUUUGGUGCAUUAGAACGUGUGUCUUUUCGUUUGACAAACUUAUAACUACAAUCCAAACACACACUAAAAGCAAAACACAUCCAGAAUAUAUAAAACAGUAAAGCACUUACAUUAGAGAACUGGUGUUUGUUUCUCAUGGAAUUGUACAAACUGGGGAACACAGGAUGUGCACAAUAGCAAAAGGCAUAUAAGCUAACAGCUGUGGGGUUUCCCUUCCAAUUAACAAGAGUUCCCUUUUGAUGAAACCCAACUCCAUCAAAUGUUGCAGUCCAUGAUAUUGACAGAAUAAUGAUAGCAGAAGCAAAUACCCUACUUGCAGAUACGUAAGAAAGUAUCCUCAAGUUGUCCAAGACAAGGGCAACCAAUAUCACAAACAGUUUCUUCCCACCAAUUGCUAAGUCAGCUGUAUGAAUCUCCACAGUGGGAAAUAAGUUACUCAAGUUAUCACCUUCGAGAAUCAAGAACCCUACCGAAACCAAGAAGAGCUCCGUGUAUAUUAACCCUGAUAUUAUUAGCCUUCCCGUCUUUCCAAACGCAAGUUCGCCCAUAUCAGGGUAGGUUCUGAUAUUCGAAUCCUUAUCCAUUCAUCUUUUAAUCAACACGCCUGUGUAAAAUGUCGCGGCAGCAAUAGCAAACAAAAGAGCCAAGCUUAACCAGCCCCCAGAUGCAAGAGUGUACGGAACUGAGAGUAUCCCAACACAUGAAAACCAAAUCCACACACACAAAACAUAAGCAUUUUUAUUUUUUUACAUAAAACAGCAUCAUUAAACAUAGAUUUCUCAUUGAUAAGUAAAGGAAGUGAAUGGGUAAUAGAUAAUGAAACCUGAUACUGCAUUGAUUCCGUUAAAGCAGGUGUGAAAGAAGGAUGCAGUAUUUUCGGUAGAAGGAUGAGACAAUGGCUCUCUCCUCAUCUAUGGAAUGCACCAUAUUAGUAUCGAGAGCUAACUGAUACUAGCCAGGGUUUUAACUAACUAUACAGAUAAAAAAAAAAAAAUACAAACUGCUUGAACAUCACGAUUCUGCCUCAAGGGCUACAAAUAACCUAGUUAAAGGUGAGCAUCCACUUGGCAACAUCUCAUCAUCUUGGGAAUAUGCAGGGAAUUGGACGGUGGAGGAUUAGGAGAGGGAAUUUUGUUGGAAAAGGAGAAUUGAAUGUGGGGUUGGUGAGAGUUAAAGAAUGGAAAUUAGCAAAGUUUAAUUUAAUUAUUGUACUACGUUUUUGUGUUUUUGGUACAGUACGUGGGAACUAAAACAAAGAGUCUUGCAUUCCAAAUCUUGAACCAGCGAGCUAAGAUUUCUGCCACAGCAU
RNAcentral lists this long non-coding RNA (5750 nucleotides) under Glycine max (soybean). RNAcentral's name for it is "long non-coding RNA (GMAX_LNC002086)". Lineage: Eukaryota; Viridiplantae; Streptophyta; Magnoliopsida; Fabales; Fabaceae. The record is from RNAcentral.